Molecule: long non-coding RNA, 488 nt
Organism: Nematolebias whitei (Rio pearlfish)
Lineage: Eukaryota; Metazoa; Chordata; Actinopteri; Cyprinodontiformes; Rivulidae
Exons: 4
Source: RefSeq, a predicted model, not a curated record
GACACUUCCGGUAUUACAUUGGCGGGAUAACACAAACGAGGUCCUUCUCGGAUAACGCGACGUGUUUGAUUCAAAGCCAAGCGGCUCUACGAUUUUCACACCCAAGAUGCAGCUCCACAUCACGCAGCACAGAGUGGGCAGGAGCAGAGCCAGUAGUGAUGAGGGGAUUGUUCCUGUCAGUAUAAAGGAACAGCUUUUGAAUUCACGGCGGUCUGUUGGUCGCUCCAUUUUAAAUGAUGAAGAAUGAGGGGGUGCCAACAUGCCUAUGAGUACGAGACCGACACGAAGACAAAGACACAUGGAAAGUUUAUCCACCUGAAUGGGAGAGCAGCAAAACUAGGACAUUUUAGACAGAUGCCAGUACAAACUUGCUGAGCUUCAAACAAAGCCCUGCAGAAUGGAUGGCUACAUUGCAGAGUGCCCAGUGGGAAAUGCAGCCUGAGGCAGCCUCCAAGAGGCACCAACAACUAUUUUUUUUUACAAAUGAA